Molecule: non-coding RNA, 68 nt
Organism: Podarcis lilfordi (Lilford's wall lizard)
Lineage: Eukaryota; Metazoa; Chordata; Lepidosauria; Squamata; Lacertidae
Source: the annotation of a GenBank genome assembly
GCUGGGAUAGCUCAGUUGGUAGACCAUGAGACGCUAACUCUCAGGGUCUUGGGUUCCCACUUUGGGCA